GGCGAACGGGUGCGUAACACGUAAGUAAUCUGCCCCCGACUCUGGGAUAACGCUUCGAAAGAGGCGCUAAUACUAGAUAGUUCCUAGUGGCACAGGCUGUUAGGGGAAAGUUGGCUUCGGCCUUCGGUCUGGGAUGAGCUUGCGGCCCAUUAGCUAGUUGGUGAGGUUAAGGCUCACCAAGGCGACGAUGGGUAGCUGGUCUGAGAGGAUGAUCAGCCACACUGGCACUGAGACACGGGCCAGACUCCUACGGGAGGCAGCAGUGGGAAUUUUGCGCAAUGGGCGGAAGCCUGACGCAGUAACGCCGCGUGAAGGAUGAAGGCCCUCGGGUCGUAAACUUCUGACUGGGGGAAAGAUGAUGACGGUACCCCCAAAGAAAGCCCCGGCUAAUUCCGUGCCAGCAGCCGCGGUAAUACGGAAGGGGCAAGCGUUGUUCGGAAUCAUUGGGCGUAAAGGGCGUGUAGGCGGUUUCAUAUGUCCGCUGUGAAAGCACACGGCUCAACCGUGUUCAGCCGCGGAAACUGUGAGACUUGAGACUGGGAGGGGCUGGUGGAAUUCCCUGUGUAGCGGUGAAAUGCGUAGAGAUGGGGGAGAACACUCGUGGCGAAGGCGGCCAGCUGGACCAGUUCUGACGCUAAGGCGCGAAAGCGUGGGGAGCAAACAGGAUUAGAUACCCUGGUAGUCCACGCUGUAAACGAUGGGCACUAGGUGUCGGCGGUAUACAUCCCGUCGGUGCCGGCGCUAACGCAGUAAGUGCCCCGCCUGGGGAGUACGGUCGCAAGGCUGAAACUCAAACGAAUUGACGG
Molecule: ribosomal RNA, 806 nt
Filed under: uncultured bacterium
Lineage: Bacteria
Description: bacterial SSU rRNA
Rfam family: Bacterial small subunit ribosomal RNA
Source: RNAcentral